GGUCGUAAUCGCUUCUUGCAGUUGGAACCAUCGUUUCUCCUGCUGCGUGGAUUCGGUAGCAUCGGUCCAGAGUGCCUCAUGGUUGCCGCUCACCUGAUUAGGUCCAGAAAAAUGAAGCCAUUCUUUCGGCACCUGAGCCACGCAGUAAAUAUGAGGAGGGGAGCAGAGGGAUCAGCGUAUGGGCCUCUUGACGACCUUCACCUGCCGCACACAGAUGAUGUCACCCGUAGCCUCGUUCACCCCAUCCAGACUGUAGAGGGAAACUGUCUCUCGGGCCCCUGCUGGCCAGGAACUUUUUAAUCAGUUUCGUGGUCGCUGAAAACGAUGUGUUGAAAAAUGUGAUGUCGGAAAUAACACCACGGCGACUGUGCCAGUCUUUAGUAGUGUAGCCUCGCCGCUUCCUUCAUAUAUAGUACAUACCCGUGUCCUCAUUUUUCUUUGACUUGGCACCCAACAUCCACUUCUGUAUCCUUCGAUCCACUUCUGUAUCCUUCCUCCAGGUCUCCUCGGCGACGCAUAUCAACAAGGACGCGCGGAAAUGUUCUCCUCUCUCCGUAAAAACUCGGGACACGAUUCGUCCAUUAGUCUCGCACCUUGAGGCUUCUCUUUCUCACUCUCGUAAACCCAAA
Long non-coding RNA from Scylla paramamosain (green mud crab), 629 nucleotides. RefSeq lists it as uncharacterized. Lineage: Eukaryota; Metazoa; Arthropoda; Malacostraca; Decapoda; Portunidae. The transcript has 2 exons. The record is from RefSeq and is a predicted model, not a curated record.